Long non-coding RNA from Scylla paramamosain (green mud crab), 1237 nucleotides. RefSeq lists it as uncharacterized. NCBI's taxonomy places the organism in Eukaryota, Metazoa, Arthropoda, Malacostraca, Decapoda, Portunidae. The transcript is spliced from 3 exons. The record is from RefSeq and is a predicted model, not a curated record.
GAGAGAGAGAGAGAGAGAGAGAGAGAGAGAGACUGUCGAGAGUCAGUCUGGCUUCUCUGGCCCUAUAUAAGGAGACGUUAGACGAGCCUCACUAGAUCCUGAAGACGCGAGACAGAAGUAUAAGGAGAUGCCUGGGAAGAAAACACGCACUGCAUCCACAACUCUUAGCUGUUACCGGGGGUUAGAGAGAGAGGAAGUAAUGGAAGGGAGGGAAGUGAAGGAAGUCCACGUAACACAGCAACACUCUUCCGAUCCUUCGUCAGGCAACGCCCUCCCGCGCCCCCACCACAGCCGCUGUUGCUGCGCCGCUGUCAGUGCUGCUGGGAACACCUGAGGGAGCGUUGCGCCGCGUGGUGGCGGCGAGGGGCAGCUCCAGCAGCCUUCAGCACGCCUUCAGCACUCGCUCACCACCCUUCAGCAUGGCCCCGGCAUUAGCGCACCGCAAGCAUCCUGUCGCGGCGGAAGGAUCGCUCGCCACCCUGAAGGAAAGGCUCGUUGGAAAUUCCAUUCCGGGUCACUCACCUCUGAGUCUGUCUUCCCCCCACAACCCACUGGCCGUGGGAGACUCUUACUCAGUCACGCACGACGCCCGCCCCCUCCUCCCUUCGCGACAAGACUGCGUGGACCUUGAUACACCGUCAGCAGCCCUCAUCCCCUCACGUGGUGGUGGCAGCGUGGCGCAGCACCUGGAGCCCCGCGCCGCUACGUUUACCUGUGAGGCGUUGCCAUGAAGCCCUCUGCUACAUGCCACGGUGACCAGGGAACUAUUGGGGUUUCUGUGCAAUUGUAGAUAGUAAAGCCACGUCUUUGAAGUGUUUGUGUCUUUCUUUCAUUCCCCCGUCACGUUCUACAUUCCUCCCUUCCUCCUUCCCCGUCAGAUUCCUCAAAUACUUUACACUUGUAUGUUACAGAGAAAAGUAUUAGAAGAAAGUAGAACUUGCACAUGAGACUACUGCGUCUGUGUUCAUGUCCGUACGGCCUCCUUUGGUCCAGCGAACACACGGCGUGGCGAGAAACUUUUGAGAGCUGAAGGUGGAGUCAGUGCACCUUCGUGAGGCUCGUGCAGCUGAGGUCAUUGACUGCUGCAGGUCGACCGGAGUUUGUUCCUCCUCACACACACACACACAUACACACACACAAACAUAUAUAUAUAUGCAACCCCCUUCCUCACACACACACACACACACACACACACACACACACACACACACACACACACACGCAACCCCCUACUCAA